GGGGAUUCUUCCACAAUGGGGGCAACCCUGAUGGAGCAACGCCGCGGGAAGGAUGAAGGCCCCCGGUUGGUAACCUUCUUUUAUGAGGGAAAAAUAGGACGGUAACUAUUGAAUAAGCACCGGUUAACUCCGUGCCAGCAGCCGCGGUCAUACGUAGGGUGCAAGCAUUAUCCGGAGUGACUGGGCGUAAAGAGUUGCGUAGGCGGUUAGUAUAGCGAAUAGUGAAACCUGGUGGCUCAACCAUACAGACUAUUAUUCGAACUCACUAACUCGAGAAUGGUAGAGGUAACUGGAAUUUCUAGUGUAGGAGUGAAAUCCGUAGAUAUUAGAAGGAACACCAAUGGCGUAGGCAGGUUACUGGACCAUUUCUGACGCUAAGGCACGAAAGCGUGGGGAGCGAACC
RNAcentral lists this ribosomal RNA (403 nucleotides) under uncultured Candidatus Saccharibacteria bacterium. Its description in RNAcentral is "bacterial SSU rRNA". It matches the Rfam family "Bacterial small subunit ribosomal RNA", at positions 356 to 774 of the family's 1533-position model. The record is from RNAcentral. Lineage: Bacteria; Candidatus Saccharimonadota.